GACGGAGGGUGCUAGCGUUGUUCGGAAUCACUGGGCGUAAAGGGCGCGUAGGCGGCUUUGGCCGUCGGCUGGUGAAAGCCCGGGGCUCAACCCCGGAGGUGCGGCCGAGACCCCAAAGCUGGAGGCCGGAAGAGGAGGGUGGAAUACCCAGUGUAGAGGUGAAAUUCGUAGAUAUUGGGUGGAACACCGGUGGCGAAAGCGGCCCUCUGGUCCGGACCUGACGCUGAGGCGCGAAAGCGUGGGGAGCAAACAGG
Molecule: ribosomal RNA, 254 nt
Filed under: uncultured bacterium
Lineage: Bacteria
Description: partial 16S ribosomal RNA
Rfam family: Bacterial small subunit ribosomal RNA
Source: RNAcentral